AGAGUUUGAUUAUGGCUCAGGAUGAACGCUGGCGGCGUGCUUAACACCUGCAAGUCGAACGGAGUUUAGAGAGCUUGCUCUUAAACUAGUGGCGGACGGGUGAGUAACGCGUGGGUAACCUGCCUUUCACUGGGGGAUAACAGUUAGAAAUGACUGCUAAUACCGCAUAAGCGCACGGGAUCGCAUGAUCUAGUGUGAAAAACUCCGGUGGUGAAAGAUGGACCCGCGUCUGAUUAGCUAGUUGGUGAGGUAAGGCCCACCAAGGCGACGAUCAGUAGCCGGCCCGAGAGGGUGAACGGCCACAUUGGGACUGAGACACGGCCCAAACUCCUACGGGAGGCAGCAGUGGGGAAUAUUGCACAAUGGGGGAAACCCUGAUUGCAGCGACGCCGCGUGAGUGAAGAAGUAUUUCGGUAUGUAAAGCUCUAUCAGCAGGGAAGAAAAUGACGGUACCUGACUAAGAACGCCCCGGCUAACUACGUGCCAGCCGCCGC
Molecule: ribosomal RNA, 494 nt
Filed under: uncultured bacterium
Lineage: Bacteria
Description: bacterial SSU rRNA
Rfam family: Bacterial small subunit ribosomal RNA
Source: RNAcentral